ACAUUUCUUUAAGUAUAAAUUUUAAAGUAAUUCCUGCUCAAUGAUUUUUAUUAAAUAGCUGCAGUAAUUUGACUGUACAAAGGUAGCAUAAUAAUUAGUUUCUUAAUUAGGAACUGGAAUGAUUGGAUUAAUGAAAUACAAAUUUUAUUAGUUAUAUUAUUAUAAUUUAAUUUUUAAGUUAAAAAGCUUAAUUUUUUAUUUGGGACGAGAAGACCCUAUAGAACUUUAUUAUAUAUUAAUAUAUUUUAGUAUUUAAAUGUUUAAUUAUUUUUUGGUUGGGGUGACAGAUAAAUUUUAACUUUAUUUUAUUAUUUCAUUAAUUUAUGAUAAUUGAUCCAUUUCUUUUGAUUAAAAGUUUAAGUUACCUUAGGGAUAACAGCGUAAUUUUAAUGGAAAGUUCUUAUUAAUAUUAAAGUUUGCGACCUCGAUGUUGAAUUAAGAUUAAUAUAGGGGGCAGUUUCUCUAAUGUUUAAGUCUGUUCGACUUUUAAUUUCUUACUUGAUCUG
Molecule: ribosomal RNA, 506 nt
Filed under: Bundera sp. 4 YW-2015
Lineage: Eukaryota; Metazoa; Arthropoda; Insecta; Hemiptera; Cicadellidae
Description: partial 16S ribosomal RNA
Rfam family: Archaeal large subunit ribosomal RNA (bases 372-506)
Source: RNAcentral